GAUGAACGCUGGCGGCGUGCCUAAUACAUGCAAGUCGAGCGACCGGAUGAUAAGCUUGCCUCUCUGAUGUUAGCGGCGGACGGGUGAGUAACAUGCGUAUAACCUACCUAUAAGACUGGGAUAAACUCGGGAAACCGGAGCUAAUAACGGCUAAUAUUCUGAACCUCAUGGUUCAAAAGUGAAAGACGGUCUUGCUGUCACUCAUACAUUGAUCUGCGCUGCAUUAGCUAGUUGGUAAGGUAACGGCUUACCAAGGCAACGAUGCAUAGCCGACCUGAGAGGGUGAUCGGCCACACUGGAACUGAGACACGGUCCAGACUCCUACGGGAGGCAGCAGUAGGGAAUCUUCCGCAAUGGGCGAAAGCCUGACGGAGCAACGCCGCGUGAGUGAUGAAGGUCUUCGGAUCGUAAAACUCUGUUAUUAGGGAAGAACAUAUGUGUAAGUAACUGUGCACAUCUUGACGGUACCUAAUCAGAAAGCCACGGCUAACUACGUG
RNAcentral lists this ribosomal RNA (497 nucleotides) under uncultured bacterium. RNAcentral's name for it is "partial 16S ribosomal RNA". It matches the Rfam family "Bacterial small subunit ribosomal RNA", at positions 28 to 507 of the family's 1533-position model. The record is from RNAcentral.